RNAcentral lists this ribosomal RNA (492 nucleotides) under uncultured bacterium. Its description in RNAcentral is "partial 16S ribosomal RNA". It matches the Rfam family "Bacterial small subunit ribosomal RNA", at positions 29 to 507 of the family's 1533-position model. The record is from RNAcentral.
AGUGAACGCUGGCGGUAGGCCUAACACAUGCAAGUCGAACGGCAGCACAGUAAGAGCUUGCUCUUACGGGUGGCGAGUGGCGGACGGGUGAGGCAUACAUCGGAAUCUACUUUUUCGUGGGGGAUAACGUAGGGAAACUUACGCUAAUACCGCAUACGACCUACGGGUGAAAGCAGUGGAUCUUCGCACCUUGCGCGAUUGAAUGAGCCGAUGUCGGAUUAGCUAGUUGGCGGGGUAAAGGCCCACCAAGGCGACGAUCCGUAGCUGGUCUGAGAGGAUGAUCAGCCACACUGGAACUGAGACACGGUCCAGACUCCUACGGGAGGCAGCAGUGGGGAAUAUUGGACAAUGGGCGCAAGCCUGAUCCAGCCAUACCGCGUGGGUGAAGAAGGCCUUCGGGUUGUAAAGCCCUUUUGUUGGGAAAGAAAAGCAGCAGGUUAAUACCCGGCUGUUCUGACGGUACCCAAAGAAAAAGCACCGGCUAACUUCGUG